GGACUGUGUGAGAUACGUUUCGAACAGGAGCUCCGCCAUUAUGGCUCCACCAUGUGGUCAACACCUGUCUCCUGUGGGAGAUAUGUGUCAGCCCGGAGCUCUGUCAUUAAACUACCUCAUGCUUUUACAUCAA
RNAcentral lists this long non-coding RNA (133 nucleotides) under Mus musculus (house mouse). RNAcentral's name for it is "predicted gene, 57247". Lineage: Eukaryota; Metazoa; Chordata; Mammalia; Rodentia; Muridae. The record is from RNAcentral.